RNAcentral lists this long non-coding RNA (1039 nucleotides) under Equus caballus (horse). RNAcentral's name for it is "lncRNA (ENSECAG00000059991.1)". The record is from RNAcentral. Lineage: Eukaryota; Metazoa; Chordata; Mammalia; Perissodactyla; Equidae.
CAACUAGGGUUACAGAACUAAAAGAAAUUGUUCAUUUAGUUUGUUAAAAAUCAGCUUAUUAUCAGUCAUUCAAAAAGAUUAAGAAAUGCAAUUAUUAGGGCUCUGAGUGCGAUAAUGGGAAUCUUGAAAUCCUCUCUGCAACAGCUCCUUUACUGUAGCCAGAUUAUCUUGAAUCUAUUCCUUGAACUAAUGGUGACUAUUUCUAACUCUGUACCCUUACUUAAGCUCUUCUCCCCCCAUAGAUGUCCUCGCCACUACCUAGCAUUUUCCAAAAUCCUACCCGUCAUGAAGGUUAAAUCCUAUCUCAUAGCUCCAUGAAGGAACCCUCUCUAACCCACCACGUCCACCUCUAACUCUACUGUCCCAAAUACUCACCCUGACAGUUUAUACACUUUAUUGUUACUGCCUGUAGAUGCUGCCUGUGAAAGAAUUAAAUAUUUAUCUGGUAAUAAAACAAGUCUGCAUACGUUAUUCUAUUUUUAAUCUUGAAAACAAUUAAGUGUGAUGAAAAGGGAACUUUGUUUUAGAGAAGUACACUGAUGUUUACAACAUGAAACUUUUGAUAACAGGCAUGUUUUCGAGUCUGGUAGUUGUUCCGCAAUGUUGAGUCCUUCCUACUUCCACAAUAAGAGAACUUUUAGGUGAGCAUACCGCUGCCCAGAGUAAAGACUGCACUCUCCGUGCUUCCUUGUAGCUAUGUGACUGUGUGACUAAGUUCUGAACCAUAAGAUGGAAGUGGAAUUGUAGUGUGAGAGCUUUUGGGAGCCUUUAUUAAGAGACAGUGUUUAUGUACACAUUGCUUUUUUCUUCAUCUUUUCUUUCUGGAAUAUGAAAGCCUUCUGAUAUGAAUGCCACCAUCUUGGAAAGUGAAGCAUUUUUUGGAAGAAAGGAGACCUGCUCUACUCUAUCCCCCCAAGCACUUCAGGUCAGUGGGUAAGUCCUCUGAGAUUCAUGGAGGGCUCAUGCACCAAGGUCAUGAUGAUUUUGGGUUGGGAACGAAGGAAGCCUUCAGUCUCUCACAGUACUGCACAAAAAUGGA